UGAUAGAGGGAUGUGAAAGAGGAGAGAGGUAAUGGUUGUACUCCCCCAUGGAGUGAUGAUAGAGGGAUGUGAAAGAGGAGAGAGGUAAUGGUUGGACUCUCCCAUGGAGUGAUGAUAGAGGGAUGUGAAAGAGGAGAGAGGUAAUGGUUGUACUCCCCCAUAGAGUGAUGAUAGAGGGAUGUGAAAGAGGAGAGAGGUAAUGGUUGUACUCCCCCAUAGAGUGAUGAUAGAGGGAUGUGAAAGAGGAGAGAGGUAAUGGUUGUACUCCCCCAUAGAGUGAUGAUAGAGGGAUGUGAAAGAGGAGAGAGGUAAUGGUUGUACUCCCCCAUGGAGUGAUGAUAGAGGGAUGUGAAAGAGGAGAGAGGUAAUGGUUGGACUCUCCCAUGGAGUGAUGAUAGAGGGAUGUGAAAGAGGAGAGAGGUAAUGGUUGUACUCCCCCAUGGAGUGAUGAUAGAGGGAUGUGAAAGAGGAGAGAGGUAAUGGUUGGACUCUCCCAUGGAGUGAUGAUAGAGGGAUGUGAAAGAGGAGAGAGGUAAUGGUUGUACUCCCCCAUGGAGUGAUGAUAGAGGGAUGUGAAAGAGGAGAGAGGUAAUGGUUGUACUGGACUUAUUUAUUCCCUCAUUACUGACAUUCUUUUUCAACAUAAUUUCAUAAGACAAAAUAAAUAAUGUUAGAUAAUGCUCACUUCUUCCUAUAAGAGUCAUUGAAGUGUUGGAUGAGACAGGACCCUGCCUUCACAGAGGGAUAUUUGUUGGACCCGUAACAACAGGUGAUGAGGGCCUCAUCCUCCAGCUGCACAAAGAAAACCAGGGAAU
Molecule: long non-coding RNA, 815 nt
Organism: Oncorhynchus keta (chum salmon)
Lineage: Eukaryota; Metazoa; Chordata; Actinopteri; Salmoniformes; Salmonidae
Exons: 4
Source: RefSeq, a predicted model, not a curated record